AGUCCAGCCCCCUGCCUUCACUAGCAGGACCAAGUACUGAUUUUGCCCCAGAUCCCUAAGUGGCCCCCUCAAGGAUUGAACUCACAACCCUGGGUUUAGCAGGCCAAUGCUCAAACCACUGAGCUAUCCCUCCCCCCUAAUUUUCUAUUAACAGUUCCAUUGUUGAAGCUGAUUGUGGUGUCGAGGAAGUUGAUGCUAGUGUGGAAGUAUUCCAGGGAGAGUUUAAUGGACAGGUGGUGGUUGCUGAAGUUGUGGUGGAAAUCUACAACUACACUGCAAAUUCAGAGCAGUCACCCCUGGAGCACACUGAUCCUCUGCCUUUUUGCAAACAACAGAUACACACACUGGAUUUCAGAGGAGGGCAACAACAAUGAGAAAAAGGGCUAGCAGGUUGGAUGUUCCUGGCCUACAGCAAAGAUGACAGUGGAGAGAUGUAAUGGACCAAGUGUUUUCUUCUUGUAACUCCUUUGACACCAGCCACCAUUGGCUUAGUGGCCUGACCAUGGUCUGGAAAUCCCCAGGCUCCCUGGAACUGUAGGUUCGAUCUGUGCAGGAUCACCUCACGUCUUCACCCUUCUGCAGUAGCGAUUCAGUCCAAGCAGUUUACUAUGUAUUGGCCAGUCAGCUGCCCCCAAAGUCCCUACACCUGGAUCCCUUAGCGCUUUCCAUAAGGGUUUGUCUUGUGAGCUUAGCCAGCGUUUGCCCUUCUGCAGUGUUGUAUGAUGGUGGCUGCCUUUCGCACCAGAGGGAGCUGCCUUUCAGUGGUGUGUGUGUAGACGGAUGUCCAGCACUUGGGGAUGGAGACUCUCGAGAACUGUAGGAUUUCUGAAGAUCAGCAUGAUUAAAGAACGCAUGUCCCUUUUCCUUGGAGACAAGUUGCAAGGAAAUGCAAAUAGAGCCAAGGUGACAAGCACCCAGAGGAGGGAUGCAACCAGCCUGCUUGGUGGCUUUAAAGCAGGUGAGGAGGCGUUCACCUUCUGCAGCAUUGACUGGCAUUGAAACACAAAAGUGAGUCUCUAGCCUUCCUGUGCCUGCUAAAAUCUUCCAAAUGUGAACCGAGUGUAAGUGAAGCAGCAGGAGCUUCUCAAGUCUGGGACCGUGGUUCUGAGAGAUGUGACCUUUCCUGCCCCCAUUCCCUGCCAACUGCAUGGACAUGCUUUAAAAGCACCAUAAUAGAGGCUCAAACUAAACAUACCCUCACCCUCCAAAAAUGCCACCAUGGCUUAACAGCAGAGUAAAAGAAGUGGUUAGAGGCGAAAAGGCAUCCUUCAAAAACUGGGAGUCAAAUCUUACUGAAAAACAAAUAGAAAGGGAGCAUAAGUUCUGGCAAGUCAGUGGAAAAGUAUGCUAAGGCAGGCCAAGAAAGAAUUCAAAGAGCAGCUAGCUAAGGACACAAACACUAACAGCAACAUUUCUAUUAAGUAUACCCACCAAACAGUCAGGGGGGCCACUGGACGAUCGAGAUACUAAACGAGCACUGAAGGAAGACAAAGCUGUUGUAGAGAAGCAAAAUAAAUUCUUUGCAGUGGUUUUCA
RNAcentral lists this long non-coding RNA (1535 nucleotides) under Chrysemys picta bellii (western painted turtle). RNAcentral's name for it is "lncRNA (ENSCPBG00000015890.1)". The record is from RNAcentral. Lineage: Eukaryota; Metazoa; Chordata; Testudines; Emydidae.